UGAGUCAGCCAGAUGACCGCAUUUUAGGAAACUGCACUUUGGUGUAAGUCUGCGAUGAGGAAAGUCCGGACUCCAUAGAGCAGGGUGGUUGCUAACAGCAACCCGGGGCGACUCGCGGGAAAGUGCCACAGAAAAGAUACCGCCACUUCGGUGGUAAGGGUGAAAUGGUGCGGUAAGAGCGCACCAGUGUUGUCGGUGACGGCAGCAGCUUGGUAAACCCCACCUGGAGCAAGGCUAAAGGUAUGCACCCUUAGGGGUGGUACCGCGCACACGUUUGACGGCUGCUCGCUGGAGUGUGCGGGUGAGCCGCUUGAGAUACCCGGCGACGGAGUAUCCAGAUGGAUGGUCGUCUCCCAGGAGCAGCGUUCUUGGGAACAAAAUCCGGCUUAUCGGUUGACUCAUUCG
This 405-nucleotide RNase P RNA is filed under the name Mycobacteriales bacterium. RNAcentral's name for it is "RNase P RNA component class A". It matches the Rfam family "Bacterial RNase P class A". Rfam says of the family: Ribonuclease P (RNase P) is a ubiquitous endoribonuclease, found in archaea, bacteria and eukarya as well as chloroplasts and mitochondria. Its best characterised activity is the generation of mature 5'-ends of tRNAs by cleaving the 5'-leader elements of precursor-tRNAs. RNAcentral also lists the same sequence under 1 other name. The record is from RNAcentral. Lineage: Bacteria; Bacillati; Actinomycetota; Actinomycetes; Mycobacteriales.